This 510-nucleotide ribosomal RNA is filed under the name uncultured bacterium. RNAcentral's name for it is "partial 16S ribosomal RNA". It matches the Rfam family "Bacterial small subunit ribosomal RNA", at positions 28 to 507 of the family's 1533-position model. The record is from RNAcentral.
GACGAACGCUGGCGGCGUGCUUAACACAUGCAGGUCGAACGAAGAGCGAUGGAAGCUUGCUUCUCUCAAUCUUAGUGGCGAACGGGUGAGUAACGCGUAAUCAACCUGCCCUUCAGAGGGGGACAACAGUUGGAAACGACUGCUAAUACCGCAUACGAUCUAAUCUCGGCAUCGAGGAAAGAUGAAAGGUGGCCUCUAUUUAUAAGCUAUCACUGAAGGAGGGGAUUGCGUCUGAUUAGCUAGUUGGAGGGGUAACGGCCCACCAAGGCGAUGAUCAGUAGCCGGUCUGAGAGGAUGAACGGCCACAUUGGGACUGAGACACGGCCCAGACUCCUACGGGAGGCAGCAGUGGGGAAUCUUCCGCAAUGGACGAAAGUCUGACGGAGCAACGCCGCGUGAGUGAUGACGGCCUUCGGGUUGUAAAGCUCUGUUAAUCGGGACGAAAGGCCUUCUUGCGAACAGUUAGAAGGAUUGACGGUACCGGAAUAGAAAGCCACGGCUAACUACGUG